This 282-nucleotide long non-coding RNA is filed under the name Sorghum bicolor (sorghum). Its description in RNAcentral is "long non-coding RNA (SBIC_LNC000999)". Lineage: Eukaryota; Viridiplantae; Streptophyta; Magnoliopsida; Poales; Poaceae. The record is from RNAcentral.
CGUCUAAUUUGGCACAGAAGAAUGGUUGAAGGAGUGAUGAUUCGAGCUACCUCAGGGGACAGCUCAGCUUCUGUUAGCCAUUCAUAACUCAAAAUAGCCGAAAGGCUUUUAAUGUGUUCUAUGUCAACAGAGUCUACACUUAGAAUGGGUUGAGUGGUCCCUACUAGAGGUCGUGUUUGGAUGGGAAAAUUCGAGGUGUUUCCAUAAUCUUCAAAAAGAUCUUCCUCGAAUUCGAAGGGAUGCUCUAAAGGUGGUGGUUCAUCAUCCCUUAGUUGGUUUUGC